Molecule: ribosomal RNA, 306 nt
Filed under: uncultured bacterium
Lineage: Bacteria
Description: partial 16S ribosomal RNA
Rfam family: Bacterial small subunit ribosomal RNA
Source: RNAcentral
GACAGCAGCAGCCGCGGUAAUACAGAGGGUGCGAGCGUUAAUCGGAUUUACUGGGCGUAAAGCGUGCGUAGGCGGCUUCUUAAGUCGGAUGUGAAAUCCCUGAGCUUAACUUAGGAAUUGCAUUCGAUACUGGGAAGCUAGAGUAUGGGAGAGGAUGGUAGAAUUCCAGGUGUAGCGGUGAAAUGCGUAGAGAUCUGGAGGAAUACCGAUGGCGAAGGCAGCCAUCUGGCCUAAUACUGACGCUGAGGUACGAAAGCAUGGGGAGCAAACAGGAUUAGAUACCCCGGUAGUCCCUGUCUCUUAUAC